CCUACGGGGGACAGCAGUGAGGAAUAUUGGUCAAUGGACGAGAGUCUGAACCAGCCAAGUAGCGUGAAGGAUGACUGCCCUAUGGGUUGUAAACUUCUUUUAUAUGGGAAUAAAACGUUCCACGUGUGGGCUUUUGUAUGUACCAUAUGAAUAAGGCUCGGCGAACUCCGUGCCAGCAGCCGCGGUAAUACGGAGGAUUCGAGCGUUAUCCGGAUUUAUUGGGUUUAAAGGGAGCGUAGGUGGAUUUAUAAGGCAGUUGUGAAAGUUUGCGGCUCAACCGUAAAAUUGCAGUUGAAACUGGCAGUCUUGAGUACAGUAGAGGUGAGCGGAAGUCGUGGUGUAGCGGUGAAAUGCUUAGAUAUCACGAAGAACUCCGAUUGCGAAGGCAGCUUACUAAACUGCCACUGACAUUGAUGCUCGAAAGUGUGGGUAUCAAACAGGAUUAGAUACCCUGGUAGUC
RNAcentral lists this ribosomal RNA (460 nucleotides) under uncultured bacterium. Its description in RNAcentral is "partial 16S ribosomal RNA". It matches the Rfam family "Bacterial small subunit ribosomal RNA", at positions 338 to 795 of the family's 1533-position model. The record is from RNAcentral.